This 1800-nucleotide non-coding RNA is filed under the name Pongo abelii (Sumatran orangutan). Lineage: Eukaryota; Metazoa; Chordata; Mammalia; Primates; Hominidae. The record is from RNAcentral.
AGAUAGGAGAGAGUUUCCUGUGGGCAAACUUUAGGUUGUAAAUUGACUCUUGUCUCUAGAGGCAAUCUUCUGGUGGUAGAGAUUUCCGGCUCUGGGGCUUCUAGAUGUCCUGGAAUACACUUGUGUCAGUGACAAAUGCUGCUUUGCUGUGCUACACCGAGUACAAGGUAGUGAGAAAUGCAUGGGCUAUCUUCAGCAUAGAACACAAACUCUGCCUUCUUUUCUCAAGUCCAGUGAUUCAAGUUUGACACACCACACCACAGUGGAUGUGCCUUGUCAUGACACAACUUCUCAGCAGCACUAGAAGAUACAUCCGAAGUCCUGUGAGCAAGGUAUGUGGUAUCUGUUUAUUAUGGCAGCCCAGUAAGACUAAGACAGGCCAUCACAAGACGUGAACGUUUUGGACCUUCUCUUGGGCCCUAGUAAACAGAAAUCAGGCUAUUUAUUAAACUAAUCCACGUUCUGAACUGCUAUUGCUACUGGAAACCAGUCCCGAUCCAGACCCCAAAAGAGGAUUCUUGGAUCUUGCACAAGAAAGAAAGUAGAGGGACCCUUAGUCAUUACCUUCAAGGAACCUAAAUCCUGGUGUCUUUAUGGUUAUGGGUGGCAUAUAAUAUACAGACACAGUGAAGGAGUGAGAUGUGAAGGUGCUCUGUCAUUGCCUCAGUCAAGGCUUUCAUGGUACACUGGAAGAAAGAGAAGUGUGAACAAAUUGCAUGAUACUUGAGGUCAUGCUGUGUACCUGUAUUGAACAAGAAUAAGGGAAGAAAGCUGGGAACCUGGAUCUCCCAUAUACUGGAAGUUUUGUAAAAACCUUGAGGGUCCCUUCCACUACAUAUGGGGAUUAUGGGAACUGCAAUUCAAGAUGAGAUUUGAGUGAGGACGUAGCCAAACCACAUGGUUUUAGAACAUUGACUGAGAGAGAAGACAACCCACUUUGCCAUAUAUGCCCAUGGUCUUACCAAGGCUAGAGUACAGUGGCACAGUCAUAGCUCACUGCAGCCUCAAACUCCCAGGCUCAGGCAAUCGAUCCGAUCCUCCCACCUCAUCCAGCCUCCCAAGUAGCUGAGACUACAGGAGUGGCUGGAUAUGUGUCCUGUUUGUGCUUGUCUGCAUAUAAGAGAAGUUGAGAAAGGGAUCAAGAAUGAGGUGACUGCGUGGACAUAAAGCAUAUCAUGAAAGAAAAAUUCUCCCACAUCCCUCCCAGCAGCAGCUCCAGAAUUUCUUCUUCUCCCCUGAAAACUAACAAGAGAGACUGCCACCAGAUUACUCUUAUCUCAGCACCCAGCUUUGCUUAUUGUUUAUCAGUCACUGAGAAUGUCUGAGGCUCUGAGCUAAUAACUUUUAGAUACAUCUUAUUUAGCCUUUAGAGAAAUGCUGUGAGAUAAGUACUGUGUUAUUGGCCCCAUUUUAAAAUUAAUGGGAUAGAAACCCUGCAGGGCAACUCACCAUGGGUCAGCAGCUGGGAUAGAGCUGAGCCCGGGUCUGAGCUGAACUCAGUUUGCCCACAGACCCUCCACACCACCACACUAUUAGGUCCCCUUUAUCUGGCCCACUAUUUCAUGGUCACGUGCAUCAUUUCUGUGCUUUGCCACAUUAUUUUAGUUUCUUUAACUCACAGUAUUAUUUCUGUGAGAUAUUUCAGAGGCAAGAAUUCCUCUGUAGUAGGAGUUGUGUCUACUUAGUAGGCUGUGUCUACUUAGCUCGCAUUUCUCAGUUUCUCUGCGGUGACAGGUCCCCUAAAAUAGGGUUGCAUCACAAAAAUGAUUUCGGAGCCACAAUUUAAAAAUAAAAAUGAAA